RNAcentral lists this ribosomal RNA (559 nucleotides) under uncultured marine eukaryote. RNAcentral's name for it is "SSU rRNA". It matches the Rfam family "Eukaryotic small subunit ribosomal RNA", at positions 613 to 1174 of the family's 1831-position model. The record is from RNAcentral.
UUGCGGUUAAAAAGCUCGUAGUUGGAUUUCUGUCGAGGGCAGCCGGUCCGCACUAUGUGCGUGCAUCUGGUUCGCUCUUGGCAUCCUCUUGGGGAACAUUCCUGUGCUUGAUUGCAUGGGGUGGAAUUCAAGACUUUUACUUUGAGGAAAUUAGAGUGUUCACGGCAAGCUAUCGCUUUGAAUACAUUAGCAUGGAAUAAUAAUAUAGGGCGUAAGUUCUAUUUUGUUGGUUUCUAGGACAUACGCAAUGAUUAAUAGGGACAAUUGGGGGCAUUCGUAUUAACGCGUCAGAGGUGGAAUUCUUAGAAUUGCGUUACGACGAACUACUGCGAAAGCAUUUGCCAAGGAUGUUUCCAUUGAUCAAGAACGAAAGUAUGGGGAUCGAAGACGAUUAGAUACCGUCGUAGUCUAUACCAUAAACUAUGCCAAUUAGAGAUUGGAGGUCGUUCUUUUUAUGACUCCUUCAGCACCUUAUGAGAAAUCAAAAUUUUUGGGUUCCGGGGGGAGUAUGGUCGCAAGGCUGAAACUUAAAGGAAUUGACGGAAGGGGCACCACCAGG